CUUACGAAGUUUGUAAACCACAUCCCCAUAAAAAACGGGUUUAGAAAUACCUUCUCGCAGAAGUGUCUUUAAAUUACUAUUGAAUUUUAAAACUAAAUCGGAAUUACGAUAGUAAAAUUUAGCAAAAUAUUUACGCAAUUUGUAAUAACGGUAGCCUUGCUGAAGAAGUUUACUUGUAAUAUAUAGAUUAUGUUCAUUGAAAUGCUUGACAUGACUACACGCUCUGGCAAACCGAAUUAAUUGAGAAAUAUAUACCCCAUAAGAUGUAACCUGAGGUACAUCCCCAUCCAAAUGGGGAAAAUUUACAAUACUAAAGUUAAAAUCAUCCCUCUUGUCAUAAAUUUUGGUAUGUAUAAUAUUGUCAUAAAUAGAGAGAUGUAAAUCUAAAAACGAAGCAUCAGUAUCCGAAUUGUUAGUUUUAAUUAACUGAAGCUCCCUAGGAUAAAUAGUACUCACCAAUUGACCAAAUAACGGAUUAUCCAUAUUAAGAAUAUCAUCCAGAUAGCGUGAUGUAUUAUUAAAUGCAGUUAUAAUAUUUGCCUGCGUAUCUGGAGAAAGGCUCAACAUAAAGUCUCUUUCAUAACAAUAUAAAAACAAAUCUGCGACAAGGGGUGCACAAUUUGUUCCCAUGGGAAUACCAACUACUUGUCUAAAAACUGCAUUCCCAAACCUGAUGUAAAUGUUGUUCAAUAAAAAGGAAAGGGCUUUACAAACUUCGUCACAGGAAAGCCUCUUGUGUCCCAUGUCUUUUAGUUACAUUCCAGUGGUGGUCUAAUCUUUUUUUGAAUGUUUCAACUGUCUGAGCACUUACAACCCUUUCGGGCAAUCCAUUUUAUGCAUUUACUAUUCUGAUGGAGAAAAACAAUUUCCGAGGAAGGAGUCCUUUCUUAAGAGUUGGUUUAUAGAGCUUGAGUGAAUGUCCUCUGGUAGAUGAAAUAUCUGAUAACUUGAAAAACUUGUCAGGAUAAGAAUUGUAUUUACCAGUCAAAAACUUAUAGGUUUCAAUCAAAUCACCUCUUAAACGCCCCCAUACGAAAAAGAAAUUAAAUAAAAGGUCAAUAAAAGGCAAACAAAGGGCUAGCAAAAGGUACUUCUAUGUUUUGUUAAAACCUUUUAUAAGCCUUUCAUUUAACAAAAUACUAACAAAAGACUAUUAAGGAUUUUGUGAGUAAUACAUUUUGUUUACCUUUUGUUUCAGAUACUGCCUUUUAUUAAUGUUUCAAUACCCUUAUAAUUUGAAAUUUACCUUUUAUUAGCAUUGGAUUGGACUUAUAAUAUUCUUAAAUGUUGCCAUUUGUUUGUAUUUCAUUCCACUUAGAAUCAACACUUACAUAUUUUGUUUGUAUUUCAUUACACUUGCUUUCAAAAACAAGAAGUUUUGUUCAUAUUUCAAUACAUUUGUAGGUUUGGACGACUUGUUUCACAAAAUCUAGCAUAAACAAAUUAGUUUCAUAUUUCAUUGAUAUUGGCUAAAUACUGCUGCUGCUGUUUUGAAUUCAGAGCUACAUCUACCAUUCACUAUGUUCUUCAUCUACAUAAUUACACUUCUGACGAUUGCAAAGGUUUGUCAGUAAGUAAAUGGCUACUGAGCACUUGCAAAUGCAUAAUAUUCUUUAUCAUACAUAAUCAGCUUUAAGAGAGACAAUCUAUAAACAGAGACCACUUAAAAUAAUAAUUAAAACUUCUCCUGAAAAAACAAUUCCAAUGUUUUUCCCAUUCCAUAGAAUUCCUUAGAAUUUUUUAAGAUAAUGCAAAGUUUUCCUAGUAAGAUUUUUUUUAUUUAAAUUGCAGCAAAGAUUACAUUGAAAAUCUUAAGAUUUGUUUGGAUUAUACUAGGUAUCCAAAUUAAUUGAAAUGAAACAAGGAAUCCAACUAAUUAAAAUUUAUGUCAAUGUUUUCAUUUUGUAUAUAAAAAGGAUGUUAAUUAGAAUUCUAUCAUUUUAUUUAUAAUUAAUAUAACAAGAUAUAUCAUUGAAAAUAGGUCCUAUUUAUAAAUUAUAUAAGCUAUUUAUUUUUUGGUUAUUGAACACCUCAAACAACAGCACCAGAUAAUAGGCAUUAAAAGUCAUUUCGUAAGUACAACAAACUGUAAAUGAUAUUAUGCUUUUGAUAUAAUGUUACAUCCUCAUAAAUGAAUUAGUCUAUUCUUUUGAUGAUUGGCAAUGAUUAAUUAUCCUGCUUUUACAGCCACUUGAUAUACUGCUGUUCAAUGUAUACACAUGUGUUAACACACAGAGAUACAGCUUAUCUGAUCAAGAUAAGGACCAAUGAAAAUACAGGCUUCUGAACCGUUUUACACCUGUACACCAAAAAAUAAUCCCCAUCUUCCUGCUUGUUUUUUUCUCUCUGAGAUCUUUGCAAAUGCUGUGAGCAAAUAGAUGGUCAAUUUUUCCCAUGAACUGUAUACUUAUAUAUUUUAAGAACAUAGAUAUUCCCUUCAGUAACUAUAUAUUGUACCAAAGAAAAUGGCUCAUGAAUACAAAAAUUUGAAUGUAAACAGGAAGUUCGUUGUUCAUGUUGUUGGAGGCAAAUGGAAUAAAGCUAACUUGAAACUCUAAAAUGCUUUUAGAGAGAUAUCAGAUGAAAGAGUGUGCAUAUAUCUAGUUAUUAGAGGUAUAUGCCUAUAUGUAUGAAUUGAUGUAGUUGGAGAAAUCAGAUCGCUUCAGUGCAUGACUAUGCUACAGGAUGAUACAAGAUCACAGACAGAAAUUCGAUCAAGGAUCAAACAUAAAUUACAUAAUACAUGUACUUCAACUAAAUUAAAUGCAUGGCUGGAAUGAAGUUCCUGACCCUGGUGUUGAUUUUGGAAAAGCAAAGAGACAUUCUGAUGCCACCUUGUAUUGAGCCUGCAAUACUCCAAAAUGAUUUUGUUGUGUUCAUAAUUUUCUAUCAAAUAAUCUUUUAGUUUAAUUUUCAAAUUUAAGCUAAGUGAAUUUUUAUUAUUCUUAACCACAAGUGUAAAAGCCGCUGGCAGAUGUGUUAUUCCCCUUUGAAUUGUAUUCUUUUUGUUUUUUAUGAAACCCAGAUCUGUCUCAACAUUAGAUUAAAAUAAUUUUGUAAUGAUACUAUUUCUUCUUUUUUUGUUUUGUGUCAACAAUGUUUUCCAAUGGUUUUCCAUCAAACCUUUCCAAACUUUUGCAAAGAAUUCUGCUAAAAAAUUCCUUCAACUUUAAUGCGAUGAUUUCCAAUGUUCAAAGAGUUCCAUGGACUUUCAACUGCAUUUUCACAGGGCUGCUCCCAUGGGUAUGUGAGUUUAAAUUUAAAUUAAUUUUCAGACUUUUUUUUCAUGCCGUUUUUCCAAACUUUUCCAUGGAACAUGUACAGACGGGUGCUUUUGUGACAUAAACACUUUCUAGUUUUAGUAUAUGUUUGGGAUCAUGCAAGAUAUCUGGACAGUUUUUUUAAAAUUCAAAAUCAAGAAUUUAUUUAAUUCGGCAAAACAAACAUUUUGGUUAUCUUACAGUAUUUGUUCAUUGCUGUGAAAUUGAUAAUUGCAUGCAUUUAAAUAACUUUUUACAUUAUUCUUUUGAUCAUAAAUAUAUGUAUACAAAUGUAUAUAUUGAUUUGUCAAUAGUGUUUGAUUAAUGUGUUCUUACGAAAACUUAAAUAAAAGGCAAUUGAUGAUAUACCUUUUAUUUAUGUUUUGAUAAAAGGUCUCUCUGCCUUUUAUUCGUAUUUUGUUUCCUAUAUUUUAUUUGCAAUUUGUUUCUCAUAUGUAAUGAAUGUGAAUGCCUUUUGUUAGUAUUUUGUUACUACCUUUUAUUCAUGUUUCUUUGAAACAAAAUAUUAAUAAAAGGUCUCUCUGCCUUUUAUUCAUAUUUUGUUUCCUAUAUUUUAUUUGCAAUUUGUUUCUCAUGUAAUGAAUGUGAAUGCCUUUUGUUAGUAUUUUGUUACUACCUUUUAUUCAUGUUUUAUUUGCCUUUUGUUAUCUCAUUUGCAUAUCAUU
Mercenaria mercenaria is the source of this 3946-nucleotide long non-coding RNA. RefSeq lists it as uncharacterized. The transcript is spliced from 3 exons. The record is from RefSeq and is a predicted model, not a curated record. NCBI's taxonomy places the organism in Eukaryota, Metazoa, Mollusca, Bivalvia, Venerida, Veneridae.